This 28-nucleotide non-coding RNA is filed under the name Bombyx mori (domestic silkworm). Lineage: Eukaryota; Metazoa; Arthropoda; Insecta; Lepidoptera; Bombycidae. The record is from RNAcentral.
CAGGAAAACAUGCGAUGGAUGGGAUGGU